GCUGGGUGUGGUGGUGCGUGCCUGUAGUCCCAGCUACUCGGGAGGCUGAGGCAGGGGAAUUGCUUGAACCUGGGAGGUGGAAGUUGCAGUGAGCUGAGAUUGAGCCACUGCACUCCAGCCUGGGUGACAGAGUGAGACUCUGUCUCAA
Molecule: unclassified non-coding RNA, 148 nt
Organism: Pongo abelii (Sumatran orangutan)
Lineage: Eukaryota; Metazoa; Chordata; Mammalia; Primates; Hominidae
Rfam family: Metazoan signal recognition particle RNA
About the family: The signal recognition particle (SRP) is a universally conserved ribonucleoprotein. It is involved in the co-translational targeting of proteins to membranes. The eukaryotic SRP consists of a 300-nucleotide 7S RNA and six proteins: SRPs 72, 68, 54, 19, 14, and 9.
Source: Ensembl